CUUAACACAUGCAAGUCGAGCGAUGAAGUUUCUUCGGAAAUGGAUUAGCGGCGAACGGGUGAGGAACACGUGAAGAAUCUGCCCUCCACUUUGGGAUAACACCGGGAAACCGGUGCUAAUACCGAAUAUUGAAACAUAAGUGGCAUCACUGAGUUUUGAAAGAAUUUCGGUGGAGGAUGACUUCGCGGCCUAUCAGCUAGUUGGUGAGGUAAUGGCUCACCAAGGCAACGACGGGUAGCCGGCCUGAGAGGGCGACCGGCCACACUGGGACUGAGACACGGCCCAGACUCCUACGGGAGGCAGCAGUGGGGAAUAUUGGGCAAUGGAGGAAACUCUGACCCAGCGACGCCGCGUGCGGGAUGAAGGCCUUCGGGUUGUAAACCGCUUUCAGUAGGGAAGAAGCGAAAGUGACGGUACCUACAAAAGAAGCACCGGCUAACUAUGUGCCAGCAGCCGCGGUAAUACAUAGGGUGCAAGCGUUGUCCGGAAUUAUUGGGCGUAAAGAGCUCGUAGGUCGUUUGUUACGUCGGAUGUGAAAACCUGAGGCUCAACCUCAGGCCUGCAUUCGAUACGGGCAAACUAGAGUUUGGUAGGGGAGACUGGAAUUCCUGGUGUAGCGGUGGAAUGCGCAGAUAUCAGGAGGAACACCAAUGGCGAAGGCAGGUCUCUGGGCCAAUACUGACACUGAGGAGCGAAAGUCUGGGGAGCGAACAGGAUUAGAUACCCUGGUAGUCCAGACCGUAAACGGUGGGCACUAGUUGUGGGAACCUUCCACGGUUUCUGCGACGCAGCUAACGCAUUAAGUGCCCCGCCUGGGGAGUACGAUCGCAA
RNAcentral lists this ribosomal RNA (831 nucleotides) under actinobacterium SCGC AAA208-D13. Its description in RNAcentral is "bacterial SSU rRNA". It matches the Rfam family "Bacterial small subunit ribosomal RNA", at positions 47 to 891 of the family's 1533-position model. The record is from RNAcentral. Lineage: Bacteria; Bacillati; Actinomycetota; Actinomycetes.